CUAAAAGGAUACACUUACAAUCUACUUAAUACAUUUAUGUUUAAGAUGGAAACAUAAUUGUAUUGUUUUAAUUCUAAAUGAAAUUCAACAUAAUCAUCAAAACAUGAUAUAAUCACUUUGCAAGAAAAUGUUCAAAUUGUUUCAGAUGUCAAACAAAUGGUGUUCAUGUAAAAUGAUUUUUUUCUGCCGUUUGAUUUAUUUAAUUAAAAUAGGCCCAUGUCACACAAUUACUUUGUAUUUUCUUCUCAACUUAAUUCCAUUGUGUAGGCUAUAAUUAAUUUAAUUCAGGUUUGUGAAAUACGUCGUUUGCGCGGGAGCAACGCGCGCGAGAGCGUCUGCGCAUGCGCUUUGAAAUCCAGACCACACCAGGACCGUUGGUUUGGAAAGGACACAUGAGGGUACUGACUGUCUUGUUUUCAGAGCUCGUUAAAAGUGACAUUUGCUGUACAUUUGGAAUUCCAAAGCCUGUUCAGACAAAUUACGAGCUAAGUCAGUCCCCAACAAAGGCAGUUAGCCUUGUAGAAGUUUGGCUGACUAUUUGAUUGGACAUGUGCAGAUGGUAACGUUAAAGAGAUUUUUCUGCUGCAAAGGAUGACAUUGAUGCAGCUUGUGAACUUGCCAUCAGAGGACUGUGUAUCUAUCUUAAUGAGGACUCUAAAGAUCUCAUUCAGGAGUAUGCGGACAUGGAAGAAGAUCUUUUACAGUGUGCGAUUGAGAAGACUACCAUGGGCAUCUUCCUGAUAAAGCACACUGCAGACUAUGAACCCCAUGAUGUAGACAUUGUGCUAGAGGGUGUAGCAGUGCUUCAGGACAUCGACAGUGUGGAUUUUGCAACUCCAAUGUUUUUGGUCUAAUUUAUGCUCUUAACCUGCAGUACCCCACAAAGUUGCGUUUUACAUAUGAAAUUUAGCAAAAACUCAUCAUGGACUUGGAUGCGGGUGAAUUCUCUAUCAAGGCCCAAAAUUUCAAAUCUGAUUUUUGAAUGACUACUGAG
Long non-coding RNA from Carassius gibelio (silver crucian carp), 994 nucleotides. RefSeq lists it as uncharacterized. The record is from RefSeq and is a predicted model, not a curated record. The transcript has 4 exons. NCBI's taxonomy places the organism in Eukaryota, Metazoa, Chordata, Actinopteri, Cypriniformes, Cyprinidae.